CCUACGGGAGGCAGCAGUGGGGAAUAUUGGGCAAUGGGCGAAAGCCUGACCCAGCAACGCCGCGUGAAGGAAGAAGGUCUUCGGAUUGUAAACUUCUUUGAUCAGGCACGAAGAAAUAACGGUACCUGAAGAACAAGCCACGGCUAACUACGUGCCAGCAGCCGCGGUAAU
Molecule: ribosomal RNA, 171 nt
Filed under: uncultured soil bacterium
Lineage: Bacteria
Description: partial 16S ribosomal RNA
Rfam family: Bacterial small subunit ribosomal RNA
Source: RNAcentral